Molecule: transfer RNA, 69 nt
Filed under: Tetraodon mbu (fresh water puffer fish)
Lineage: Eukaryota; Metazoa; Chordata; Actinopteri; Tetraodontiformes; Tetraodontidae
Description: tRNA-His
Rfam family: tRNA
About the family: Transfer RNA (tRNA) molecules are approximately 80 nucleotides in length. Their secondary structure includes four short double-helical elements and three loops (D, anti-codon, and T loops).
Source: RNAcentral
GUGGGCAUAGUUUAAUCAAAACAUUAGAUUGUGAUUCUAAAAACAGAAGUUAAAACCCUCUUGCCCACC